This 439-nucleotide ribosomal RNA is filed under the name uncultured bacterium. RNAcentral's name for it is "partial 16S ribosomal RNA". It matches the Rfam family "Bacterial small subunit ribosomal RNA", at positions 338 to 795 of the family's 1533-position model. The record is from RNAcentral.
CCUACGGGUGGCAGCAGUGGGGAAUAUUGCACAAUGGGGGAAACCCUGAUGCAGCGACGCCGCGUGAGUGAAGAAGUAAUUCGUUAUGUAAAGCUCUAUCAGCAGGGAAGAAAAUGACGGUACCUGAGUAAGAAGCCCCGGCUAACUACGUGCCAGCAGACGCGGUAAUACGUAGGGGGCAAGCGUUAUCCGGAUUUACUGGGUGGAAAGGGAGCGUAGACGGCAGUGCAAGUCUGGAGUGAAAGGCGGGGGCUCACCCCCCGGACUGUUCUGGAAACUGUACGGCUGGAGUGCAGGAGAGGUAAGUGGAAUUCCUAGUGUAGCGGUGAAAUGCGUAGAUAUUAGGAGGAACACCAGUGGCGAAGGCGGCUUACUGGACUGUAACUGACGUUGAGGCUCGAAAGCGUGGGGAGCAAACAGGAUUAGAUACCCGUGUGUC